UAUAAAAAUAAAAAAAGAAAUUUUCCAGCGGAAGCCCCAGCGGUGGCCGUAUCACUAUCCUUUCUUUUUUGGGGUUUCACCUCGUGAGUCGUGAGGCUCGGAACGCUUGACUGAACGGAGUUGGAGUGUGAAGAUCGUAAUUUCGCAAUACGUAAUACAACCAAAAAGGCAACCUCAAAAAGUCACUCUGUGUCACUCUCCUCGCAAAGCACAGAGCGAGCGACAAGAGAGAGAGACAGAGAGAGAGAGAGGGAGACGUACGGUAAAGAUGGCUCCUCAGAUUCCUGGUUUCAACUCACUUUCUCAGUUUCUCUCUCUAUAUGCACAUGCGAUUAAGGAUUUCUUUGCCUUUUUUCUCUUCAUGGGAUCUCUUUGGUGUGUUCAGAUCUGUGCUGUUUGAUCCCAUUGCUCGUUAUUACUGUUCUGUUUGUUUAUUUUAUUGGUGCGUUUUGUGGUAUCGAGAUUUCCCUUUUGAUCCAGCAGUUAGUUUCUGCUUUCAAGUCUUUGUGCUUUGUUAUGUUUUGUUCUUUGUCGUCAAGAAAAUACAGGCAAAAUAGUAUUUUUUUUCUCUGUUGUAGAUUUUUCAUUUGUGUUUAUUUUGUCAGUGUCGGGUUGAAGUCACUGGAGGCAGCGGUUCAUCGACCUCUUCCUGAGAAUUUGUUGUGGCAUUAACACAAAACAUGAAUCGGUCGAUAAACCUCUGCAUCCAGCGCUCACCCUCUCUCUCAUUGUUUACAUUUAUUUCAUUAUUUUCAUAGUAUUCUUUGUUGUUGCUGAGAAAUUGAAGGAAACCAAAAUAAAACUAAUAUCUUGUGUAUACUGAUCGGUAUGGAACGGUGUUUGUGUUUUGUUUUGUUGUUGUUUAGGGGGGGUUGUCUUGAUUUAAUUCCGCCUUUGUUUUGGUUUGUGUAUUUCCGUUACUUGAAAAUAGAAAGAGCACAGAGAUAUAUAGACGAUAAAAUUUAAUCCUCUUCCGUUUGUACUGCUUUCUUAGCAACGAAGUGAUGGGGGACAUGCCUUAAAGUACAUAUGAGUGGGGAGCUAUAUCUUUAUUUGAUUGGCACCUUUUGUCCGAGAACAGCAUCUGACUAAUCCCGAACAGCAUCCAAACAAAUCUCGGAGUGCACAGGCCCUCGGCAACUCGAACUAUAUCUAUCAUAUCGAUGGGGGUGCCUCCUUUCCAUUUUAGCAAGAAGUCCUUCUGUUUGUGCUCCAUCUUGUGUGGACUAACUUCUGGAUGGCGUUUUAUUCUAAGCCAGUUGUUCAUGAUAUUCUUAAGACGAAAACAAUAGCUAUUCUUUAUUUUUUGUUUCAUAUUGUUUCUGCUGGUGUUUAGUUUAUUGUGCAUUAGACUUUCUGUGUUCUAUAGUUUCUUGUGCUUCAAAGUAUCACAAGAUAUGCAUCUAAAUUUGCAAAACACUUCUACUGUUAGGAAUUAGCUUUGAGGUCUUAAGUGUUCUCUUGACUAUAUUCUGUGCUCAAUCAUUCUGAAUCUCUGAUGUUUUCGGUUCGUUGAAAUUAAUGAAGAGGAUUGGAAAGUAACGCAUGAAGAUCAAGAUCCCCUGAAAUUCUUACAGAAUUGUUUUCUUCUCUUUUCUCCCCAAAUGAGAAUAAUUGGAAUGGAUUCUAUGCCAAUUACAUGUCAUUUUGCUUGAGCAGGUGGUUGUAAAGUUAUAACUUGUUUCUACCUCUGAUAAUGGUAAGAGAGUAUCUUUGAAAGGAAGUUCUGAAGUGGCAGACAUGGUAUUGUUGUAAUGUCUAUGAAAAUGAGGGGAAAUCAACAGUUUUGAGUGCAAGUUGCUACAGUAUCUUCUAGAUACCUUGUUGGGUUCCUAGAGCAGGAAACAAAAAAAAAAAAGAAAAAAAAAAUAAAAGA
Molecule: long non-coding RNA, 1876 nt
Organism: Carya illinoinensis
Lineage: Eukaryota; Viridiplantae; Streptophyta; Magnoliopsida; Fagales; Juglandaceae
Exons: 2
Source: RefSeq, a predicted model, not a curated record